GGAUGAGCUGUGCCUAGGGGUGAAAGGCCAAUCAAACUCGGAGAUAGCUGGUUCUCCUCGAAAACUAUUUAGGUAGUGCCUCGUGUAUAACUGAUUGGGGUAAAGCACUGUUUCGACUAGGGGGGUUUUACGACCUUACCGACUCGAUGCAAACUCAGAAUACGAUCAAGUUCAAUCACGGGAGACACACUGCGGGUGCUAAGGUCCGUAGUGGAGAGGGAAACAGCCCAGACCGCCAACUAAGGUCCCCAAGUCAUAGCUAAGUGGGAAACGAAGUGGGAAGGCUAAGACAGCUAGGAGGUUGGCUUAGAAGCAGCCAUCCUU
This 324-nucleotide ribosomal RNA is filed under the name Euplotes focardii. Its description in RNAcentral is "partial Bacterial large subunit ribosomal RNA". It matches the Rfam family "Bacterial large subunit ribosomal RNA", at positions 802 to 1123 of the family's 2925-position model. The record is from RNAcentral. Lineage: Eukaryota; Ciliophora; Spirotrichea; Euplotida; Euplotidae.